Notothenia coriiceps (black rockcod) is the source of this 1063-nucleotide long non-coding RNA. RefSeq lists it as uncharacterized. The record is from RefSeq and is a predicted model, not a curated record. Lineage: Eukaryota; Metazoa; Chordata; Actinopteri; Perciformes; Nototheniidae. The transcript has 3 exons.
ACCAGCGCAGCGCCUCCCCAGAUCUGGCGCCCUAGGCGAACAUCUAUAACGCCAGUGCUACGGGCCGGCCCUGGACGGGGGCCACAACAUAGAGGGGAAAGUACCGGAUGGGUUGCUCUCAUCAAUAGUCCAGGAAAGUCGUCCAGCAGCACAGAGAACAGAGCUAAAUCAAAAGUGAAGCCAAACCAUGCAGUUAAAGUGAGGCUCAAAUGACCCUCUGACAUAUCCCCAAGUGCCCCGGUCAUGUCUGCUGCCUCCCCAGGGGCCGUGCUCCGGACUCCAUGGAACCAGCGUGUUUAAGCAGCCAGGUCCAGUGGAGGCUCUGAAACAGAUGCUGUUCAGACUGCAGGCGGUGGAGGCGGAGCUUCAGAGACAACCACAGGCUCCAGCUGCUGCAACACCUGCUGACAGGCUGCACACAGAGGAGGCUCCACUGAAGCAGUCCCUGAACAUACCUCAGGGCUCUGCUGUCAACAUUCAGCUGUGCUGUGAGGAACAAAGCUAACUCGUGGAGAGAAAAAUACCUGAGACGUCUGUAGGAGGAGACUUAAGAAGACCAAAUUCACCUGCCAAGUUCAUGUUAACUUUUACAGAGGUACAAUCAAUCCGUGCUCUCUGGAAAUGUUCUUCAGAGAAUCAAACUAAGCACCUAUUUAACAGCUGAUUGGGAAUAAAAGCGGUCAGAACAGAAGUUUGUGUCUGACAAAAUGCAAUAUUGAAACAGCUUCAAUGUCCACUUGCUGUCAUGGUGACACAAGCAACUUGUUUAGAUUUAGCUUUGCAAUUUUGUUGCAUCAAGCCUAAUUAAGAUAACUGCAACUGCAGUUUGUGCUUUAGAAUCAUUAGAACAGGGGUCGGGAACCUUUUUCCUAUCAAGGGCUAUUUACAUUUUUACAACAUCCUUCAAGGGCCAUUCUAAUUGUUGAACUUAUAACCUCUGCUAAAGUGAAGACAGAUAACACAUUAAACUCAGAGGAAUCACUCCUGAGUUUAUAAGGGCCCGAGCACGGAGCGCUAGGACCCGACGGCGUCCUAGCACGAAGUGCGAGGAACCUAUUGUUAU